This is a long non-coding RNA of Manacus vitellinus (golden-collared manakin), 1976 nucleotides long. The record is from Ensembl. NCBI's taxonomy places the organism in Eukaryota, Metazoa, Chordata, Aves, Passeriformes, Pipridae.
UGUAUCAAAAAAUCCCUUAUUAUUGCUCUACAAAACAUGUUUUGUUGAUGUGUGAUUUUCUUCUUUCUUUUCAGAUGUCCCAGUAAUAUAAAUUGGGCUUACACUGACAGUUGGACUUAAUUCUAUCAAACCUGUUCUGGAUUCCUUCUACCAGAUUCCUCAGGGUUCAGAAACUGGCAGGACAGUUAGAUUUUCUCUGUGCCACUGAUGUCAUAACUUGGCUCUGGAGGAACAACUUGCUCUUGGACAAGCCCAGAUCACUGGGGCAUAACAUCCAUAGGACUCGCAGGAAUUCAGCACCGUCUGCUCCAAGAGAAAGGAUGGAUCUGAGAAGAACAUGUUGGAUAACACGGCUCGUCUCAGGAUUGUGCCACUGUAACUGGCAGAUAAAUAGAUUUCCUUUUCACCCCUUUUGAAGUGCUGGUCUGUAAGAGCACCUGGUGGGCAACAGGAUUCCAGCUAAGCUGUUAAUACACUGAAUAGUGCAGGAGUCUGAACGUAGCGAGCUGUGAGCUGAAACACAGCAUAUAUAUAAUUUGUUAUAGAAUUUGGCACUCCCACUUCUUGGACAGAUUCUUCCUCCCUGCACUGGUAGCCCUGGGUGAACAGGAAAACACAGGAUGUGGCUGUGAACCUCGGUGCUUAUAAGAGUGUAUUUUGGAGUGUUUCCUCGCUGCAUUUACUGCCAGGACCUUCAGAGACCAGUCUCAGCUGGGACCCACACCUUUGCCCAAGUACCCUGUUUCAGCCCAGGUAUCUGUUCCUGAGCUCUGGCCAACAAAUUCACAUGCCCAGCCCUGCCUCUCACCUUGUUCCUGGACAGAUCACAGCCCUACAUGACAGAGAAGGUAUCUGGUGGAACAGCACAAUAGAUAAUUUGUCUCCAGGUCUGUCUCCUGGAUGUGUUCUGGACCUGUUCUGUGCCCUUGGCAUUCCUGGAGUUGUUGAUGGGUGCUGUUACCAGCAUCUGGUGUAGGCCCCUGAUGGACCUGAGAUCCCACAGCAGGAUGGCUACUUCUUGGCUAAGGCACUGCCUGUGCUGUGUUCACACUUGGCUCCCGGACCAUUCCUCUGUCAUGGGGUAGCCUGGCUUUUGUUUCUACCUAACAAUUACCAUGGCUUCAACUCCAUGGAUGACAGCAAUAUAGGCAUGUCAAAGACAAUGGAAUACCAUCACUAAAGCCAGGAAUGAGCAUGGCACAGAAGACUGCCUUACCUACAGCUGGGCUCUCACUGAUUUCUGCGGAAUUUUGGGGAAAAAAUGCUCAAAAAUAAGAGUUUUGGCAGUACUACAUGCUACCUUGUUGAUGCAGAGUCUGUGCUACUAAUAGCCACAGCCAGACAUUGAAGUGUCUGCUACACUGAGAAACCAUGAACCCACCUGCCAUGGUUGUGUGGGUGUCUGGGGUGCACUGACAUGAGUGGUUCAGAACAGUUUUGCUUUAACUGAAUGACUGAAGGAAUUCCUUAUUACUGUCAUGUCCAUCAAGGUGGAGGACAGUUGGACACAAAACAGUGCCCUAGCAGUAUGUAUGUUCAGAUAUUGCAAUUGUUGAAGUACCUUUAUCUAAACCAGGUGUCUAAAAACAGAUUCCCUAAAGCCAAGUAAAUUUCCUUGUACUGUCUGAGCUCACAACAAGAACACAUGGAUUGUGUUGCCAUGCGAAAAGGUUGUCAGAGAGGGGAGAACUUGAAGUCAGCAUCUGGAGAUUAGCUCCAUGGCUGAUUUGAUGCAGAUGAGCAACACAUGAUGCCACAGAGCAUGGAGAUGCCAGUUACCCUUCCUAUUGUAACCUGACAACAGCGACUCUUGGGAAAGUGUUGCCAGUCAAACUGUGACUGAAAAACAAUAAUUGAUGGGGUGAUCCAGGGACUACAUGAAUAAUCAUAAGUGUCUCUGCCUUAAAUUAUUUCUAAGUUAUUUCUAAUUGCACAAAGGUUUUAUAGUGAAUUUUACACAGCUGGACUUCUGUAGC